AGCAGCCGCCACGGUAAUACGUAGGGUGCAAGCGUUAAUCGGAAUUACUGGGCGUAAAGCGUGCGCAGGCGGUUUUGUAAGACAGAGGUGAAAUCCCCGGGCUCAACCUGGGAACUGCCUUUGUGACUGCAAGGCUAGAGUAAGGCAGAGGGGGAUGGAAUUCCGCGUGUAGCAGUGAAAUGCGUAGAUAUGCGGAGGAACACCGAUGGCGAAGGCAAUCCCCUGGGCCUGUACUGACGCUCAUGCACGAAAGCGUGGGGAGCAAACAGGAUUAGAUACCCCGGUAGUCCCUGUCUCUUAUAC
RNAcentral lists this ribosomal RNA (303 nucleotides) under uncultured bacterium. RNAcentral describes it as "partial 16S ribosomal RNA". It matches the Rfam family "Bacterial small subunit ribosomal RNA", at positions 507 to 807 of the family's 1533-position model. The record is from RNAcentral.